GGAGUUAGCCGGUGCUUCUUCUGUGAGUGAUGUCCUUCCUGCCGGCUAUUAACCCGCAGGCCUUCUUCCUCACUGAAAGUGCUUUACAACCCGAAGGCCUUCUUCACACACGCGGCAUGGCUGGAUCAGGGUUGCCCCCAUUGUCCAAUAUUCCCCACUGCUGCCUCCCGUAGGAGUCUGGGCCGUGUCUCAGUCCCAGUGUGGCUGAUCAUCCUCUCAGACCAGCUACGGAUCGUCGCCUUGGUGAGCCGUUACCUCACCAACCAGCUAAUCCGACAUAGGCUCAUCCGAUAGCGCGAGGCCCGAAGGUCCCUCGCUUUCCCCCGUAGGGCGUAUGCGGUAUUAGCCUGGGUUUCCCCAGGUUAUCCCCCACUACCGGGCAGAUUCCUAUGCAUUACUCACCCGUCCGCCGCUCGCCACCAGGGAGCAAGCUCCCCGUGCUGCCGCUCGACUUGCAUGUGUUAGGCCUGCCGCCAGCGUUCAAUCUGAGCCAGAAUCGAACCCUGA
RNAcentral lists this ribosomal RNA (507 nucleotides) under uncultured bacterium. RNAcentral's name for it is "partial 16S ribosomal RNA". The record is from RNAcentral.